GCCCCAGACUCCUACGGGAGGCAGCAGUGAGGAAUAUUGGUCAAUGGGCGGGAGCCUGAACCAGCCAAGUCGCGUGAGGGAAGACGGUCCUAUGGAUUGUAAACCUCUUUAGGCGGGGAGCAAUGCCGGGCACGUGUGCCCGGAGGGAGAGUACCCGCAGAAUAAGCAUCGGCUAACUCCGUGCCAGCAGCCGCGGUAAUACGGAGGAUGCGAGCGUUAUCCGGAUUUAUUGGGUUUAAAGGGUGCGUAGGCGGAUUUUUAAGUCAGCGGUAAAAUGUCCGGGCUCAACCCGGGCCGGCCGUUGAAACUGGGGAUCUUGAGUGGGCGAGAAGUAUGCGGAAUGCGUGGUGUAGCGGUGAAAUGCAUAGAUAUCACGCAGAACUCCGAUUGCGAAGGCAGCGCACCGGCGCCCUACUGACGCUCAGGCACGAAAGCGUGGGUAUCGAACAGGAUUAGAUACCCUCGUAUA
RNAcentral lists this ribosomal RNA (469 nucleotides) under uncultured bacterium. RNAcentral's name for it is "bacterial SSU rRNA". It matches the Rfam family "Bacterial small subunit ribosomal RNA", at positions 328 to 794 of the family's 1533-position model. The record is from RNAcentral.